This 298-nucleotide unclassified non-coding RNA is filed under the name Trinickia caryophylli. RNAcentral describes it as "Paraburkholderia caryophylli Long range pseudoknot". The record is from RNAcentral. Lineage: Bacteria; Pseudomonadati; Pseudomonadota; Betaproteobacteria; Burkholderiales; Burkholderiaceae.
ACCGACGAUGGUGAUUACAACGUCAAGCUGCGCAACCUCAUCCGCUUCCUCGAGGACGGCGAUAAGACGAAGAUCACGUUGCGUUUCCGCGGGCGCGAAAUGGCGCACCAGGAAAUCGGCAUGCGCAUGCUCGAGCGUCUGCGCGGCGAUCUGGACGAGGUUGGCCAAGUCGAGCAGAUGCCGAAGAUGGAAGGGCGCCAGAUGAUCAUGGUGCUCGCGCCGAAAAAGAAGAAGUGAUUGCGGCGUCGUGUGCGAGCGGCUGGCCGGCCGUUGGCGGAAGCGGGCACGCAGGUGCCGG